This 447-nucleotide ribosomal RNA is filed under the name uncultured bacterium. RNAcentral's name for it is "partial 16S ribosomal RNA". It matches the Rfam family "Bacterial small subunit ribosomal RNA", at positions 29 to 523 of the family's 1533-position model. The record is from RNAcentral.
AACGAACGCUGGCGGCAGGCCUAACACAUGCAAGUUGAGCGCCCCGCAAGGGGAGCGGCGGACGGGUGAGUAACGCGUGGGAACGUGCCCCUUUCUACGGAAUAGCCUCGGGAAACUGAGAGUAAUACCGUAUAAGCCCUACGGGGGAAAGAUUUAUCGGGAAGGGAUCGGCCCGCGUUGGAUUAGGUAGUUGGUGGGGUAAUGGCCUACCAAGCCGACGAUCCAUAGCUGGUUUGAGAGGGUGAUCAGCCACACUGGGACUGAGACACGGCCCAGACUCCUACGGGAGGCAGCAGUGGGGAAUCUUAGACAAUGGGCGCGAGCCUGAUCUAGCCAUGCCGCGUGAGCGAUGAAGGCCUUAGGGUUGUAAAGCUCUUUCGUGGGGGAAGAUAAUGACUGUACCCCAAGAAGAAGCCCCGGCUAACUCCGUGCCAGCAGCCGCCGUAA